CUAAAUCAUUCUAGCAAAUCCCAUAACAGAUCAAAGAAAAACUCAUAGUUCCCUUCAUUCAGAUACUAAAGACCCAAAAUGCAUAAACUAUAUAGUAAUAAUAUGUUUAUCACAUUUUACUACUUAAAUACCAAGAUCCAGAAAACACGUGUUAAGCAAAACAAAAACAGUAUUUUACCUAUUAUUCACGUAAAUUAGUUAAGCAAAACAAAAACAGUAUUUUACCUAUUAUUCACGUAAAUUAGACAAAUUUCUGUAUCUUCCGCCGAUAAAAAUAGAUAAAGAAAUACAUAAAGUAGCUACGAGAAAAGGAAAGAGAAAAUCGAACCUUGGUUAUGUAACAGAGAUCGUCAACCAUAUUUUUCCUUUUUUGCUCAAAAGGUGAGCUGGGAUUUAAGCCUUCUUUGUUCAUCACCAUCUUCUCUACAUUUUCUAUAUCGUAAGAUACAUAAACUAAAAUACAUAAAGAGAGAGUUUUAGAACAAAAAAAAAAAAAAAAACACCAAUUUUUAUGAGCUUUUUCUCGUGAAAACAAUAUGAUGAGAUGACCGUUGUCACGCCACUUUUUCUUGAUGGUUCAAGAUUUUCCCUUCAGAUUUACGCCUCACGCACACUCAUCACUCUUUUUCUCUCUCUAGACUAUUUCACUUACUAUUUU
This 658-nucleotide long non-coding RNA is filed under the name Olea europaea (common olive). Its description in RNAcentral is "long non-coding RNA (OEUR_LNC008892)". The record is from RNAcentral. Lineage: Eukaryota; Viridiplantae; Streptophyta; Magnoliopsida; Lamiales; Oleaceae.